UUGAAUGCUGGCGGCAGGCCUAACACAUGCAAGUCGAGUGGUAGNCCNAGGGAGCUUGCUCCCGAAGUGGCGAGUGGUGGAUGGGCGAGCAAUACGUGGGUAUUCGUUUCGACGAUGGGGACAAUACUAGGAAACGUCGGCUAACAUUGGACAAUAUGAAAGAGGGUACGGAGAAGGUGGUGUAGACUGCUGUCAUAGGACGGGUUUGUGGUGUACCAGUCAGCCGGUGAGGUAAUGGUUCAUUAAGGUGAUGAGCUCGAGUUGAUCUGAGAGGGCGAUCGGUUAUACUGGGACUGAGAUAUGGUUUAGACUUCUAUGGGAGGUAGUAGCAGGGAAUCCUCUGUAACGGAUGAAAGCCUGAUGGAGUAAUGUUGUGCGGAUGAAGAAGGCCUUCGGGCUGCAAAGUCCUGCCCGCAGGGAAGAAAUAGCAUGUGUAGCUAUCGGUGGGGUUCGAUGUUAUUCACAUGAGAAAUUAUGGCUAACUUAGCGUUAGUAUUUGUGGCAACAUNACAGGUGCAAGUGCCGCUUGGAACUACCGGGUGCNAAAUGUNCGCAGUNGGCUUCCAAACCGAGCCGUGAAANNUUCGGGCUCAANUNGGGNGGUGCACCGGAANCCGGGAAUCCACGGUCCUNAAAAAAGAAAUGGAAUUUCUNCCCUAGUGGNGAAAUUCGUAAAAACCCGAAGAAAUUNCGGGGAAGNGG
This 702-nucleotide ribosomal RNA is filed under the name gamma proteobacterium AKB16. RNAcentral describes it as "partial 16S ribosomal RNA". It matches the Rfam family "Bacterial small subunit ribosomal RNA", at positions 29 to 720 of the family's 1533-position model. Lineage: Bacteria; Pseudomonadati; Pseudomonadota; Gammaproteobacteria. The record is from RNAcentral.